GUACUGCUGAGGAGUCCCACAAUAGGACGAAACGGCCGUCCAGUAU
RNAcentral lists this non-coding RNA (46 nucleotides) under Schistosoma curassoni. The record is from RNAcentral. Lineage: Eukaryota; Metazoa; Platyhelminthes; Trematoda; Strigeidida; Schistosomatidae.